CUGUAUACCUUCCUCGUUUUCGUCGCUGUUUUUGUCAGAACUCAAAGCUCGUUUCAGUUAAACGUAGUCUUAUAAUGGCUAGUGCAGCACAUAUUUGUAGUAUUUGUGAUCUUCGUCAUGUGACCAAACCAACCGUAUCCUGGUGCUCAGAGUGUGACGAAGGGUUUUGUUCUGGUUGUAUAGAACACCACAGCUUAGCGAAGGCAACCAGACAUCACAAGACGAUGCCAAUAACUGAAUAUCAGAAACUACCUCUACAUGUUCUGCAGAUCCCUCAGUCGUGUACCAAGCAUGAUGAAAAGUUCCUUUUCUACUGUAAAGAUCAUGAAUUACCGUGUUGUGGCAAAUGUGCCAUGGAAGGCCAUAAAGGGUGCAGCGAAGUAAUCAAUCUUGACGACAUCGUCAAGAACGUAAAGACCUCGACCUCUUUUGAAGAAAUUGAGGAAACGCUUGCUGAAGUUGUAGAUAAUAUUAAAGAAAUACAAAAGGUAUACAAGGGAAAUAUAACUACACUAUCAGAAAACAGAAAACAGAUUGAAAAACAAAUUCAGAACAUUCGUUUUAAGAUCAAUACCCAUCUCAAUCAAAUACAGCAGAAGUUGGUAGAUAAACUGCAAGAAGUAGAGGAAACCGAAAGUAAAAAAGUUUUCCAGCUGUCGAAAGCAUUAGAAGAAAAAGAAGAUAAAUUAAAAAAUUACCAAAAUACAAUUGUCAAUAUCAAGCACAAUGCGUCUGAUCUACAAUUAUUUAUGUCAAUCAAACAAAUAGAGCAGGAUUUAGCCAAAGAAGAAGAAUUUACUCUAUCACGCGUUGAUGGAGACAAGGUGAAUAGCAUGACGAUUACUUAGAAAAUUGAUGAAUCAGUUAACACCAUCAUACAAAGCGUACAAAGAUUUGGAGAAAUUAUUUUGGAAACCAAAUUUUCUGAAACAAAACUAAGGAGAAAGAAGAAACAACAAGCCCAGAUGUUUGUACCUAAAUCAGACAACAAAACGAUUGACAAUAUUUCCGCAAAGUUGCAACAGCAAAUACAAACACAAUCUAAAAACGUCAAGGGGUGCUGUAUUUUACCUAAUAGGAGCAUGGCAUUUACUUGCUUUGAUAAAGAGAAAGUCCUGGUUAUUGGGAAUGACGGUGAAAAGAAUUUUGAAUAAAAGGUGGCGUCUGCAAGUGAUCUUACAUACAUAAAAAGUGAUAACAGUAUUGCUGUAUCCUCUUCUAGUAGUAUCUCUGUCAUUGAUAUUCGAGAAAAGAGGAUUAAAAGGAAUAUUCAGCUUCGAUCAGUUGCCUGUGGUCUGGUAAAAAGACACGACAGGGUAAUUUACUGUUCUUCCGAUGGUAUAAAGGAGAUUGACCUUGCUGGUAAAAUUGUAAGUGAUAUAAUAUCUACUAAGCAUUCAAUAUUCCCAUAUAUUGACACCCAUGGGAGCAAUAUUUACUAUACAAACUAUGAUAACGAUUCCGUUACAUGUUGUGACUUUGAAGGUACAGUUAAUUGGAAGUUCACAGACAAAAACAUUCUUCAGCAUCCAUUAGAGAUCUCUGUGGACAACGAAGGUAAUGUGUAUGCUGUUGGUGAAAACUUAGGCAAUGUGGUAGUUAUAUCACCAAAUGGACAAAAAGGUAGAAAGCUUUUCCCAGAUAGUUGUCAUCUACAAAAAACACAAGCCUUACAUUAUGACAGAACAACCAAUUUAUUAUUGGUUGCUGGGAGGUGUGCAGAAGCGUUUUUAUAUAAAAUUGAACGGAAAUGAACAAAAUAACACGAAAAGUUUGGAUUAAAAUGAGAAUUGUUGUCAAUUAUCAAUAUUUGUGAGCAUAGAAGAUUUUAAAAUAAAUAUUCCAAAGUCUGGAUUUGGAAAACAUGGAAAAUGCAACUGACUAGUAAUUGAUGGGUUGUUUUGCUUUACCUCCAGUGGCACAUAUUUCUUGCAUUUUUAGAACAACAAUAAAUAAGCAAUAGGAUAUCGACCAGGAUGAAGGGCUAGAAAUUUGGUUUGAUUAUGGAAAAUGAGGAUAUAAUUGAUAGGGUCAGAAAUUGAGCCUUACAAUAAGCCACCUAUGAGUCCCUAAAAAGUUGUUGAAAGGAUUCGUAUGGGGAAAUGAUACAAAUUCAGGAGAGGUAAUGAUGUCAAGAUCGAUCUAAAAAAGGUAUUAUUCGCGACGUCAAAGUAUGAAAUGUUUAUUUCUACUGAUUGAAGGACAUACAGUAAAAGUUAAAGGGAAGAUAAUGGAGUCGCAAACGUAACUUUCGUUUCCGACAUCCUAUGUUGACUUAUGAAGAAAAGAUGAAAUUUUAACUUAUUUGAAUCAUUCGCUAGAAAACGAGAACAUUUGGACCCUUCUAUUUUAACAUAACAUUUGGCUUGAUUAUGUAUCAGCUAUUGGAACAAAUCACUGAUGAUGUUACUUUAAAAAAUAUAAAUAUACAUAGAAAGGCUGUUUUUUUAAAUCAUGAAAAUUUAAUAAAAAUGAACGUAUCAAAGAAUUGUUAAACAGAGCAUACUUAUGUAAAGAAAAAGAGAGGCGAAAGAUACCAGAGGGACAUUCAAACUCAUAAGACGAAAAAAAAGUGACAUUGCCGUGGCUUAGAAACAAAAAGACAAAUAAACAAUAGCAACUUGUUUUUGUACUGUUAUGAAUCACAGUUUAUGACCAAACUCAGUAAAGACCCGUCUAAAUUGCAUUUAAUUGAUAAAUUCAACAACAUUAUCUUUUAUAUUUUUUCGUUAAAUAAUCAAGCAUUUUCUAAAUAUACUGCCGAAAUUUACCCAAAGGAACUUAUUUUAAAUAAAUCAAAUGUAAACGGUAAUAACUGUCCUUUCCUAGAUUUGGAUAUUUCAGUUUUACACGGGAAACUAAAAUUUACGACAAUAGAGAUGAUUUUUCGUUACCUAUUGUUAAUUUUCCUUUUUUGGAUGGUGAUGUUCCUUUGGCACCAUCUUACAGUGUUUAUAUAUAACAACUCGUUCGCUAUGCCCGAGUCUGCUGUGACGUUUUCGAUUUUAAUAAACGUAAUCUAUGUAUUUUUGGUAAAUUAUUAAGUCAGGAAUUUCGUUACCACAAAUUACUUAAAACCUAAAUUCUUCCAUAGAUAUAAAGAUUUGGUUUUGAAGUUUGGUUGUACAUUUUUGUACCUGUAGAAAACUUAAUUCAAACGGGAUAGCACAUCCUCAUUUUUACGGAGAUGUUGUUUCCAGUGCCCGGAAAUUUAGAAACGAUCCUUUAAAUAAAAUUUUUUUUAAAAGGUUACCAAUUCAACAAUGUAAUUAGAUCUUUUAAUAUUGUUUUUAUUGGUAUUAAUAUUGAUUUUGUUUUCAGUAAAUUAAAAGCAAACUAAAUAUUA
Long non-coding RNA from Mytilus californianus (California mussel), 3346 nucleotides. RefSeq lists it as uncharacterized. The transcript has 2 exons. NCBI's taxonomy places the organism in Eukaryota, Metazoa, Mollusca, Bivalvia, Mytilida, Mytilidae. The record is from RefSeq and is a predicted model, not a curated record.